Molecule: ribosomal RNA, 271 nt
Filed under: uncultured archaeon
Lineage: Archaea
Description: partial 16S ribosomal RNA
Rfam family: Archaeal small subunit ribosomal RNA
Source: RNAcentral
CAGCGCCGCAAGUGGGGAUCUUUUUUAUUGGGCCUAAAGCGUCCGUAGCUGGUUUAGUAAAUCUCUUGUGAAAUCGUUAAGCUCAACUUAACGGCAUGCAGGAGACACUGCUUUACUUGAGACCGGGAGAGGUAAGGAGUAUUUCUGGGGAACCGGUAAAAUGGGAUAAUCCUAGAAAGACUACCUGUGGCGAAGGCGCCUUACCAGAACGGAUCUGACAGUGAGGGACGAAGGCUAGGGGAGCAAACCGGAUUAGAUACCCGAGUAGUCC